RNAcentral lists this ribosomal RNA (617 nucleotides) under uncultured bacterium. Its description in RNAcentral is "bacterial SSU rRNA". It matches the Rfam family "Bacterial small subunit ribosomal RNA", at positions 93 to 708 of the family's 1533-position model. The record is from RNAcentral.
GACCGGCGCACGGGUGCGUAUCGCGUAUGCAAUCUGCCUUUUACAGAGGGAUAGCCCACAGAAAUUUGGAUUAAUACCUCAUAGUAUUAUUGAAUGGGAUCAUUUAAUAAUUAAAGUCACAACGGUAAAAGAUGAGCAUGCGUCCCAUUAUCUUGUUGGUAAGGGAACGGCUUACCAAGGCAACGAUGGGUAGGGGUCCUGAGAGGGAGAUCCCCCACACUGGGACUGAGACACGGACCACACUCCUACGGGAGGCAGCAGUGAGGAAUAUUGGUCAAUGGGCGCAAGCCUGAACCAGCCAUGCCGCGUGCAGGAUGACAGUCCUAUGGAUUGUAAACUGCUUUUGUACAGGAAGAAACAUCUCUACGUGUAGAGACUUGACGGUACUGUAAGAAUAAAGAUCGGCUAACUCCGUGCCAGCAGCCGCGGUAAUACAGAGGAUCCAAGCGUUAUCCGGAAUCAUUGGGUUUAAAGGGUCCGUAUGCGGUUUUGUAAGUCAGUGGUGAAAGCCCAUCGCUCAACGGUGGAACGGCCAUUGAUACUGCGAGACUUGAAUUAUUAUGAAGUAACUAUAAUAUGUAGUGUAGCGCUGAAAUGCUUAUAUAUUACAUGGAAUA